RNAcentral lists this ribosomal RNA (447 nucleotides) under uncultured bacterium. RNAcentral describes it as "partial 16S ribosomal RNA". It matches the Rfam family "Bacterial small subunit ribosomal RNA", at positions 29 to 523 of the family's 1533-position model. The record is from RNAcentral.
AACGAACGCUGGCGGCAGGCCUAACACAUGCAAGUCGAGCGCCCCGCAAGGGGAGCGGCGGACGGGUGAGUAACGCGUGGGAACGUGCCCUUUGCUACGGAAUAGCCCCGGGAAACUGGGAGUAAUACCGUAUAAGCCCUACGGGGGAAAGAUUUAUCGGCAAAGGAUCGGCCCGCGUUGGAUUAGGUAGUUGGUGGGGUAAUGGCCUACCAAGCCGACGAUCCAUAGCUGGUUUGAGAGGAUGAUCAGCCACACUGGGACUGAGACACGGCCCAGACUCCUACGGGAGGCAGCUGUGGGGAAUCUUAGACAAUGGGCGCAAGCCUGAUCUAGCCAUGCCGCGUGAGCGAUGAAGGCCUUAGGGUUGUAAAGCUCUUUCGUGGGGGAAGAUAAUGACUGUACCCCAAGAAGAAGCCCCGGCUAACUCCGUACCAGCAGCCGCCGUAA